ACUUUUCGAUUUCGCUCGCCGUCGCGCUGUCGGCCGGCGGCGCCGUGACGUCCU
This 54-nucleotide small RNA is filed under the name Sinorhizobium meliloti 2011. Its description in RNAcentral is "putative ncRNA". Lineage: Bacteria; Pseudomonadati; Pseudomonadota; Alphaproteobacteria; Hyphomicrobiales; Rhizobiaceae. The record is from RNAcentral.